GUGUCAGCAGCCGCGGUAAUACGGAGGGUGCAAGCGUUAUUCGGAUUUAUUGGGCGUAAAGGGCGUGUAGGUGGUCUGAUAAGUCAGGUGUGAAAGCCCCUGGCUCAACCAGGGAAGUGCACUUGAAACUAUCAGACUUGAGUACGGGAGGGGGAAGUGGAAUUCCUGGUGUAGAGGUGAAAUUCGUAGAUAUCAGGAGGAAUACCGGUGGCGAAGGCGACUUCCUGGACCGAUACUGACACUGAGACGCGAAAGCGUGGGGAGCAAACAGGAUUAGAUACCCUCGUAGUCC
RNAcentral lists this ribosomal RNA (292 nucleotides) under uncultured bacterium. RNAcentral's name for it is "partial 16S ribosomal RNA". It matches the Rfam family "Bacterial small subunit ribosomal RNA", at positions 505 to 796 of the family's 1533-position model. The record is from RNAcentral.